CAAACAGUAAUUCAAAGGGGUUAUUAAGGAAAAACUAGCAAAUUUAUAAAAAAGGAGGGCACAAGUCCAAAAGCCACAAUUUACCGAAAGGUGAUCAAGUUUCAUUAGAUUUAUUUAAUGUUGACAAAGAAUGUAGGCGAUCCUAAGGGAAACCUUUAUAUUUAAACUUCCCGAAGUAAAACAUUUCAUUAGGGAAAGGAAAGGAAAUCAACCGAGACUCCGAAAGUAAUGGCGAGUGAAAUCGGACUAGCCUUUAUUUAAAAAUAAAUUUAACAAAAAUACACACCAGAAACCAAAGAAGGUAAAACAGUCCUGUAUGUUAAAUCUUUUUAAAACUAAUGUUUAAAUAAGUAUUAUUAAAUUAAAAUUUAUUUAAAUAAUGAGUACGACGAGAGCGAACUUGUCGGAAUAUAGGGGAACCAUCCUCUAAGGCUAAGUAUUUAUAAAUUUAGCGAUAGUGAAAAGUACCGUGAGGGAAAGUUUGAAAUAGUUAUGUAAUUUUAGACAUAAAUGAAAUAGUUGAAUUAGUAACUCUAUAAGCAGUCGAAAUUUAUAAUUAUAAAUGACGGCGUACCUUUUGCAUAAUGGGUCAGCAAGUUAAUAGGAGUAGCAAGGUUAAAAGCCUUAGUGAAAGCGACCACACUAACUAGCUAAAAGUAUUCUUAAUUUCAUAGAUAUUAAGAAUAGGAUAUCCUUCAUAGUCAUAAGGCUAAGAAGUUAAAUAUUUUCUAGGAAUAUAGUGAUGGGUAAGUUACUUCUAUUAGACCCGAAGCUAGGUGAUCUUCCUAAGACCAGAUUAUAAUGGAUCGAACGGGUGAAUGUAGCAAAAUUCUCCGAAGAGUUUUAGGAAGCGGUGAAAUGCCAAUCUGACCUAGUGAUAGCUGGUUUUCUACGAAACAUAUGUAAGUAUGACAUCUAAACAAAAUUUAUGGUGGUACAGCACUGAGUUCCCAACUAUUUCUUUUUUUUAAAGAAAAGUUUAGGUUGCGGGGACGUCGAAAAUCUUACCAAUGGAAGAGAAUCUCGGAAUGACAUAAAUUGAUGAUAGAUAUUCAGACUGCUCAUGCGAAGUUGGGUAGUCAAGACGGAAACAGCCGAGAACACGAAACAAGGUCCCAAAUGAUUUUUAAGUGAAAUGAAGGAAGUAAUAUAUUGAAUGCAGCUGUAAAGUGAGCCUGGUAGUCGCUAUCUUUUAAUAAACGUAAUGUAACAACGUAGCAGCCUUAAACAAUAGAAUAUUACACCAAAAAUUUAACGGGUCUCAAAAAAUCAACCGAUAUCGUGUUUAUUUUGAAUAAUAAAAAUUAAUAUUCAAUAUACAGGUAGUAGAACAUUCAGUAUACUGAUGAUAAAACAGUGUUUCAUUGUUUUUAGGUCACUGAAGAGAGAAUGCUGACAUGAGUAACGUAAAAAGAAGUUAUAAUACUUCUCGCCGAAUACGAAAGGGUUGUAAGGAAAGGUUAAACCACCUUAUGUUAAUGCGGCCUCUAAGGAACAAAACCAAAGUUUUGUCUGAUGAGUAUGAAUUAGAAAGUCCAUUUUUAAAAAUAAAAAUUUAAUAAAGGGACCAGGAAAAGAAUAUAUUCUUAACUACCGUACCCUAAACCGACACAGGUUCGUAAGUAGAGUAUACUAAGGCGUAGAGCUAAAAGUUGUUAAGGAACUCGGCAAGUUCUCCUCAUAAGUUUGACGAUAAGAGGAACCCGAUAAGGGUGGCACAAAAUCGGAGGCCCCGACUGUUUACUAAAAACACAAUUCAGAGCAAUGAUGAAAAAUCAUAGUAUUCUGGAUGAAAUUUGCCCAAUGCCAUUAACAUAAAAGAGGUUAUGGGUAACUGUAACUGAUUGAAAGUCUGGUUAAUAGCGGUCUUAACUAUGAGGAUCCAAAGGUAGCAAAAUAAAUUGGCCAUUAAAUGUGGUCUGGUAUCAAUAGUGUAACGAUGGUCUCACUGUCUCUACAACUUGCUCAGUGAAAUUGAAUUACCCGUGCAGAUGCGGGUUGCCUCCAGGUGGACGGGAAGACCCUAUGCAGCUUUACUGUAGUUAGCUAUCAUAUUGAUCUACAACAACCUUAGUUAAUAGUAAUUAGGGAUGUCGAAUUGACGAAAGAUGGAAUACCUUCUGACUUUGGUUGGGUUAAUAUUUACCUUUUUAAGUAAAAUAUUAUAUAUGACUCAAAAUUUUCUUUUGUUUAUUCUAUUCAUAUUCUGUUAUAUAGUGUAAUAUGGUAUAAAGCUUAUAAGGGAUAGGUGGCUAAUUGGCAGUUUGACUGGGGCGGUCGUCUUUGAUAAAGUAGCAAAGUACAUCCAAAGAUAUUUAUUUAUUAGAAACAAUCUUUUUUUAAAAAGAUACUUACUAAAAAUUCAUAGUAUCUAUAUAAACUAUGAAGAAUAUAAUUUAUUAUAUUUUUAUUAACUUAAGGUAUAGCUAGAAAAUUGAAUGGAAAUCAAUCAACCAGUGUGAAAGGUUGUAAUAGGCGUAAUGGCGGAAAGCAUGCCUAACUGAAAGACUUAGAAGUCGAACAGAUACGUAAGUAGGGCAUAGUGACCCUUCGCUAUAUUAUGGAAUAGACGGGGAUCAAUCGAUAAAAGUUACGCUAGGGAUAACAGGCUGAUAGCUGGUGAGAGUACACAUUGUCCCGGCUGUUUGGCACCUCGAUGUCGACUCAACCUAUCCUCCGGGGGUAGAAGCUUGGAAGGGUUCGGCUGUUCGCCGAUUAAAAGGUUACGCGAGUUGGGUUUAAUACGACGUGAGUCAGUAUGGUCCCUAUCUUCUGGAGGGAUAAAUAGUAAAAAGGGGCAGACCUUCUAGUACGAAAGGAUCAAUAGGCUGUGUUUCUCUAGUGUACCAAUUGUAAUUCUCUAUUCUAAAAAUUUUUAAAGGAUUAAAGAAAGAUUAAAGCAUAGUUGGGUAGCCACAAACAUGAUAGAUAAGCGCUGAAUGAAUAUUAAGCAGGAAGCUAUCCCCUAGAUACUAUCUUAUUGAUUAUCUUUUUAAUUGAUAUUUUAUUAGUUUUCUUUUUAAUCAAUGUGAAUAAGAAAUAGAACAUUUCUAAAUAGGAUGCAAAUGAAAGUGCUGUAA
RNAcentral lists this ribosomal RNA (3080 nucleotides) under Ganoderma lucidum. RNAcentral describes it as "large subunit ribosomal RNA". It matches the Rfam family "Bacterial large subunit ribosomal RNA". Lineage: Eukaryota; Fungi; Basidiomycota; Agaricomycetes; Polyporales; Polyporaceae. The record is from RNAcentral. RNAcentral also lists the same sequence under 2 other names.